This is a long non-coding RNA of Amphibalanus amphitrite, 335 nucleotides long. RefSeq lists it as uncharacterized. The record is from RefSeq and is a predicted model, not a curated record. NCBI's taxonomy places the organism in Eukaryota, Metazoa, Arthropoda, Thecostraca, Balanomorpha, Balanidae. The transcript has 2 exons.
AGACUUCAUCAUGCAGUGGUUCAGUCCGCAGUACCUGGCUGUCCUCGUUCUGGGGCUGCUCGCAGCCGCUUCCGCUUCACCGCUGCCUGGAGGCGGCGGAGGCGGUGGCGGUGGCGGAGGCGGUGGCGGCGGCGGAGGCGGAGGCGGAGGCGGAGGACGCUGAAAGAUUCAGACUGAGAUGUACACAGACCGAUGACCGUUCUCCACAGCAACUGGCCAUGCUAGGGACAGCUUUGAUUGAAAUUACCUCAAAUUCAAAGAAGCAAGGGAUCCCAUGCAUCGUUUUAUCUGAGUCAUCGAUCGUUUUGUGUGUCGAAUAAUACACAACGCAAUCA